This 527-nucleotide ribosomal RNA is filed under the name uncultured bacterium. Its description in RNAcentral is "bacterial SSU rRNA". It matches the Rfam family "Bacterial small subunit ribosomal RNA", at positions 8 to 526 of the family's 1533-position model. The record is from RNAcentral.
AGAGUUUGAUCAUGGCUCAGAUUGAACGCUGGCGGCAGGCCUAACACAUGCAAGUCGAGCGGUAACACAGGGAGCUUGCUCCUGGGUGACGAGCGGCGGACGGGUGAGUAAUGUAUGGGGAUCUGCCUGAUGGCGGGGGAUAACUACUGGAAACGGUAGCUAAUACCGCAUAAUGUCUACGGACCAAAGAGGGGGACCUUCGGGCCUCUUGCCAUCGGAUGUGCCCAGAUGGGAUUAGCUAGUAGGUGGGGUAACGGCUCACCUAGGCGACGAUCCCUAGCUGGUCUGAGAGGAUGACCAGCCACACUGGAACUGAGACACGGUCCAGAUUCCUACGGGAGGCAGCAGUGGGGAAUAUUGCACAAUGGGCGCAAGCCUGAUGCAGCCAUGCCGCGUGUAUGAAGAAGGCCUUCGGGUUGUAAAGUACUUUCAGCGAGGAGGAAGGCAUUAAGGUUAAUAACCUUAGUGAUUGACGUUACUCGCAGAAGAAGCACCGGCUAACUCCGUGCCAGCCGCCGCGGUAAUAC